AGAGCGAACGCUGGCGGCAGGCCUAACACAUGCAAGUCGAGCGCCCGUAGCAAUACGGGAGCGGCAGACGGGAUAGUAACACGUGGGAACGCGCCCUUCGGUUCGGAAUAACUCAGGGAAACUUGAGCUAAUACCGGAUACGCCCUUACGGGGAAAGAUUUAUUGCCGAAGGAACGGCCCGCGUCCGAUUAGCUAGUUGGUGAGGUAAUGGCUCACCAAGGCGACGAUCGGUAGCUGGUCUGAGAGGAUGACCAGCAUCACUGGGACUGAGACACGGCCCAGACUCCUACGGGAGGCAGCAGUGGGGAAUAUUGGACAAUGGGCGCAAGCCUGAUCCAGCCAUGCCGCGUGGAUGAUGAAGGCCUUAGGGUUGUAAGUCCUUUAACGGGGAAGAUAAUGACGGUACCCGUAGAACUAGCCCGGCUAACUUCGCGCCAGCAGCCGC
RNAcentral lists this ribosomal RNA (445 nucleotides) under uncultured bacterium. RNAcentral's name for it is "SSU rRNA". It matches the Rfam family "Bacterial small subunit ribosomal RNA", at positions 26 to 518 of the family's 1533-position model. The record is from RNAcentral.